Molecule: ribosomal RNA, 253 nt
Filed under: uncultured bacterium
Lineage: Bacteria
Description: partial 16S ribosomal RNA
Rfam family: Bacterial small subunit ribosomal RNA
Source: RNAcentral
UACGAAGGGGGCUAGCGUUGCUCGGAAUCACUGGGCGUAAAGCGCACGUAGGCGGAUUUCUAAGUCAGGGGUGAAAUCCUGGAGCUCAACUCCAGAACUGCCUUUGAUACUGGGAAUCUCGAGUCCGGGAGAGGUGAGUGGAAUUCCUAGUGUAGAGGUGAAAUUCGUAGAUAUUAGGAAGAACACCAGUGGCGAAGGCGGCUCACUGGCCCGGUACUGACGCUGAGGCGCGAAAGCGUGGGGAGCAAACAGG